CCUGUAAUCCCAGCACUUUAGGAGGCUGAGGCUGGAGUGUACUGGUGCGAUUUCCACUCAUUGCAACCUCCUGCUCCCAGGUUCAAGCAAUUCUACCUCAGCCUCCCUAGUAACUGGGACUACAGGCAUGCACCACCACACCCAGCUAAUUUUUAUAUUUAUAGUAGAGACAGGGUUUCACCAUGUUGGCCAGCCUGGUCUCAAACUCCUGACCUCAGGUGAUCCACCCGCCUCGGCCUCCCAAAGUGCUGGGAUUACAGGCUUGCGCCACUGCGCCC
Molecule: long non-coding RNA, 278 nt
Filed under: Homo sapiens (human)
Lineage: Eukaryota; Metazoa; Chordata; Mammalia; Primates; Hominidae
Description: HSALNT0333306
Source: RNAcentral